RNAcentral lists this ribosomal RNA (230 nucleotides) under uncultured Symbiodinium. RNAcentral describes it as "partial Bacterial large subunit ribosomal RNA". It matches the Rfam family "Bacterial large subunit ribosomal RNA", at positions 890 to 1120 of the family's 2925-position model. The record is from RNAcentral. Lineage: Eukaryota; Dinophyceae; Suessiales; Symbiodiniaceae.
UACCUUCGGGGGUAGAGCACUGGAUGGGCUAGGGGGCCGCGAGGCUUACCAAACCUAACCAAACUCCGAAUACCGAAGAGUAGAGCUCGGCAGACAGACCACGGGUGCUAAGGUCCGUGGUCGAGAGGGAAACAGCCCAGACCGCCAGCUAAGGUCCCUAAGUUAUGGCUAAGUGGGAAAGGAUGUAGGAAGGCCAAGACAACCAGGAGGUUGGCUUAGAAGCAGCCACC